GCUGGGUGCUGUUGUGCACACCUGUAAUCCCAGCUCUUUGGGAGGCUGAGGCAGGAGGAAUCGUGAGUUCAAAGCCAGCCUCAGCAACUUAGCGAGGCCCUAAGUAACUCAUUGAGACCCUGUCUCUG
This 128-nucleotide small RNA is filed under the name Marmota monax (woodchuck). Lineage: Eukaryota; Metazoa; Chordata; Mammalia; Rodentia; Sciuridae. The record is from RNAcentral.